Molecule: ribosomal RNA, 122 nt
Filed under: Citrus x clementina
Lineage: Eukaryota; Viridiplantae; Streptophyta; Magnoliopsida; Sapindales; Rutaceae
Source: RNAcentral
GGGUGCGACCAUACCAGCACUAAUGCACCGGAUCCCAUCAGAACUCCGCAGUUAAGAGUGCUUGGGCGAGAGCAGUACUAAGGUGGGUGACCUCUUGGGAAGUCCUCGUGUUGCACCCCUCU